AGGACGAACGCUGGCGGCGCGCUUAACACAUGCAAGUCGAGCGAGAACCAGGGCUUCGGCUCUGGGGACAGCGGCGAACGGGUGAGUAACACGUGAGCAAUCUGCCCCUAGCUCUGGGAUAGCUCCGGGAAACCGGGAUUAAUACCAGAUAUUACUACGGCCGACAUCAGCUGUGGUGGAAAGAAUUUCGGCUAGGGAUGAGCUCGCGGCCUAUCAGCUUGUUGGUGGGGUAAAGGCCCACCAAGGCGACGACGGGUAGCCGGCCUGAGAGGGCGACCGGCCACACUGGGACUGAGACACGGCCCAGACUCCUACGGGAGGCAGCAGUGGGGGAAUAUUGCGCAAUGGGCGAAAGCCUGACGCAGCGACGCCGCGUGCGGGAUGAAGGCCUUCGGGUUGUAACCGCUUUCAGCAGGGACGAAGCGAAGUGACGGUACCUGCAGAGAAGCGCCGGCUAACUACGUGCCAGCAGCCGCGGU
Molecule: ribosomal RNA, 479 nt
Filed under: uncultured bacterium
Lineage: Bacteria
Description: SSU rRNA
Rfam family: Bacterial small subunit ribosomal RNA
Source: RNAcentral